Molecule: ribosomal RNA, 346 nt
Filed under: uncultured bacterium
Lineage: Bacteria
Description: partial 16S ribosomal RNA
Rfam family: Bacterial small subunit ribosomal RNA
Source: RNAcentral
CCUACGGGAGGCAGCAGUGGGGAAUAUUGCGCAAUGGGCGAAAGCCUGACGCAGCGACGCCGCGUGAGGGAUGAAGGUCUGCGGAGCGUAAACCUCUGUCAGCAGGGAAGAACGGUCACGGUGCUAAGCAGCAGUGAAUUGACGGUACCUGCAAAGGAAGCACCGGCUAACGCCGUGCCAGCAGCCGCGGUAAUACGGAGGGUGCGAGCGUUAAUCGGAAUUACUGGGCGUAAAGCGCUCGUAGGCGGUAUGUCAAGUCAAGGGUGAAAUCCCCGCUCUCAACGUGGGAACUGCCUUUGAAACUGGCAACCUGGUGUGUGUGAGAGGCUAGUGGAAUUCCAGGUGU